This 221-nucleotide ribosomal RNA is filed under the name uncultured bacterium. RNAcentral's name for it is "partial 16S ribosomal RNA". It matches the Rfam family "Bacterial small subunit ribosomal RNA", at positions 15 to 226 of the family's 1533-position model. The record is from RNAcentral.
GAUCAUGGCUCAGGAUGAACGCUAGCUACAGGCUUAACACAUGCAAGUCGAUGGGCAGCAUGGUCUUAGCUUGCUAAGGCCGAUGGCGACCGGCGCACGGGUGAGUAACACGUAUCCAACCUGCCGUCUACUCUUGGACAGCCUUCUGAAAAGGAAGAUUAAUACAAGAUGGCAUCAUGAGUCCGCAUGUUCACAUGAUUAAAGGUAUUCCGGUAGACGAG